GAUGAACGCUGGCGGCGUGCCUAAUACAUGCAAGUCGAGCGAACAGACGAGGAGCUUGCUCCUCUGACGUUAGCGGCGGACGGGUGAGUAACACGUGGAUAACCUACCUAUAAGACUGGGAUAACUUCGGGAAACCGGAGCUAAUACCGGAUAAUAUAUUGAACCGCAUGGUUCAAUAGUGAAAGACGGUUUUGCUGUCACUUAUAGAUGGAUCCGCGCCGCAUUAGCUAGUUGGUAAGGUAACGGCUUACCAAGGCAACGAUGCGUAGCCGACCUGAGAGGGUGAUCGGCCACACUGGAACUGAGAUACGGUCCAGACUCCUACGUGAGGCAGCAGUAGGGAAUCUUCCGCAAUGGGCGAAAGCCUGACGGAGCAACGCCGCGUGAGUGAUGAAGGUCUUCGGAUCGUAAAACUCUGUUAUUAGGGAAGAACAAAUGUGUAAGUAACUAUGCACGUCUUGACGGUACCUAAUCAGAAAGCCACGGCUAACUACGUG
This 497-nucleotide ribosomal RNA is filed under the name uncultured bacterium. RNAcentral describes it as "partial 16S ribosomal RNA". It matches the Rfam family "Bacterial small subunit ribosomal RNA", at positions 28 to 507 of the family's 1533-position model. The record is from RNAcentral.